GGGGAAUAUUGCACAAUGGGCGAAAGCCUGAUGCAGCGACGCCGCGUGAGGGAUGACGGCCUUCGGGUUGUAAACCUCUUUCAGCAGGGACGAAGCGCAAGUGACGGUACCUGCAGAAGAAGCACCGGCUAACUACGUGCCAGCAGCCGCGGUAAUACGUAGGGUGCAAGCGUUGUCCGGAAUUACUGGGCGUAAAGAGUUCGUAGGCGGUUUGUCGCGUCGUUUGUGAAAACCAGCAGCUCAACUGCUGGCUUGCAGGCGAUACGGGCAGACUUGAGUACUGCAGGGGAGACUGGAAUUCCUGGUGUAGCGGUGAAAUGCGCAGAUAUCAGGAGGAACACCGGUGGCGAAGGCGGGUCUCUGGGCAGUAACUGACGCUGAGGAACGAAAGCGUGGGUAGCGAAC
Molecule: ribosomal RNA, 405 nt
Filed under: uncultured bacterium
Lineage: Bacteria
Also listed under: 1 other name
Description: bacterial SSU rRNA
Rfam family: Bacterial small subunit ribosomal RNA
Source: RNAcentral